This 824-nucleotide long non-coding RNA is filed under the name Sinocyclocheilus anshuiensis. RNAcentral's name for it is "lncRNA (ENSSANG00000027104.1)". Lineage: Eukaryota; Metazoa; Chordata; Actinopteri; Cypriniformes; Cyprinidae. The record is from RNAcentral.
AUAGUCUCCGCUCUGCGGCACUCGUCUGUUAUCAGCUCCUCCACGCUGCAGAAAGUGUCGGAGCACGUGUGUCGCUCCAGCGGCCGCCCGCAGUGCCACUGUGAGCUCGUUCCCUUGCAGUUCGUAUUUGGUCCCGAGCAGUCGCUGGAAAAGUUUCAAGAGGUUUGAACUCAUGCGAUGACCUCUAUUAUUGGUGAUAAGACUCUCCAGGAAAGGUCAGAAACGAGAUCAUGUUCUGCCCUGCUGUUUAAUAACACGUCUCUGCUUCCUCGCUGCAGGAGUUCAAGAGGUUAUCGCUUCCUGGUUACCUGCUGAACGCCGAGCAGCACAACUUCCACUACGUCUCACUGAGUCGCCAGCAGUCUCACAGGCUUCAGGCCGUGACACAGCUGUCUAACAUCACUGCUCAGUACUUAACGGCUGCAGGAACAGUGUCUCGGCAGAGCAGCCUGUGUCCUGAGGUGGAGGACGGAGCCAGAGCAUCAGCAAACAGAGAAGCAGAGUCCAAGAAAAAAGAGCCCGACACUGAGCUGGUGGAGUGUGGAGAAGUGCAGAGGGCUGAUGAGGACACGCGGCCUGCUGCAGCUGAUUCAGCCAGCGAGUCUCUCUCCGAGACCUCUGACCCCGGGCAGCUCAAACAGGCCGACGCGGAGGAGACUCGACCUCAGAGUGACGCUCACCUGCAGGCGGGCAGCAGCAGCACCGAGCGCUCAUCUGAUCACACGUCGCCUCCCAAAACCCCCUCCGCCGCCAGCCUGGCCGAGUCCGUGCAGUCCACCACACACAGCAGUGGGAAACUGCGGCCCAGUCGAGUUCAGAGCGUC